RNAcentral lists this ribosomal RNA (251 nucleotides) under uncultured prokaryote. Its description in RNAcentral is "partial 16S rRNA". It matches the Rfam family "Bacterial small subunit ribosomal RNA", at positions 525 to 775 of the family's 1533-position model. The record is from RNAcentral.
ACAGAGGGUGCAAGCGUUAGUCGGAGUUACUGGGCGUAAAGGGCGUGUAGGCUGAUAUCUCAGUCGGUUGUGAAAUCCCCGGGCUUAACCUGGGAAUUGCAUUCGAUACUAGAUGUUUUGAGUAUGGUAGAGGAAAGUGGAAUUCUCGGUGUAGUGGUUAAAUACGUAGAUAUCGAGAAGAACACCGGUGGCGAAGGCGGCUUUCUGGACCAAUACUGACGCUGAGGCGCGAAAGCGUGGGGAGCAAACAG